UCUCCGUUGGUGAACCAGCGGAGGGAUCAUUACCGAGUUUACAAACUCCCAAACCCUUUGUGAACCUUACCUAUCGUUGCUUCGGCGGGACCGCCCCGGCGCCUUCGGGCCCGGAACCAGGCGCCCGCCGGAGGCCCACAAUUCUAUGUUUUAUAGCGAAGUCUUCUCUCUGAGUAAUACAAGCAAAUAAAUUAAAACUUUCAACAACGGAUCUCUUGGUUCUG
RNAcentral lists this unclassified non-coding RNA (224 nucleotides) under root metagenome. Its description in RNAcentral is "partial contains small subunit ribosomal RNA, internal transcribed spacer 1, and 5.8S ribosomal RNA". The record is from RNAcentral.